GGAAAGAUACCGGAGUGGUCGAUCGGGACGGUCUCGAAAACCGUUGUACCCUUACGGGUACCGAGGGUUCGAUCCCCUCUCUUUCCG
This 87-nucleotide transfer RNA is filed under the name Barnesiella viscericola. Its description in RNAcentral is "tRNA-Ser". It matches the Rfam family "tRNA". From Rfam's summary of the family: Transfer RNA (tRNA) molecules are approximately 80 nucleotides in length. Their secondary structure includes four short double-helical elements and three loops (D, anti-codon, and T loops). Further hydrogen bonds mediate the characteristic L-shaped molecular structure. tRNAs have two regions of fundamental functional importance: the anti-codon, which is responsible for specific mRNA codon recognition, and the 3' end, to which the tRNAs corresponding amino acid is attached (by aminoacyl-tRNA synthetases). tRNAs cope with the degeneracy of the genetic code in two manners: having more than one tRNA (with a specific anti-codon) for a particular amino acid; and 'wobble' base-pairing, i.e. permitting non-standard base-pairing at the 3rd anti-codon position. Lineage: Bacteria; Pseudomonadati; Bacteroidota; Bacteroidia; Bacteroidales; Barnesiellaceae. The record is from RNAcentral.